AUGGCUGGAUUCGCUGAUGCACUGAGGCCGGAUAAGUUUACCGGUGUGCACUUUAAGAGGUGGCAGGUGAAGACCACGCUCUGGCUUACUGCUCUGAAAGUUUUCCACGCUAGUGUUGGUGCUCCAGAGGGAAUGACCGACGAAGAUCGGAGAAAAUUCCAGGAAGCCAAUACUAUGUUUGUGGGAUGCAUUCUGAGUGUUCUUGCUGACCGUCUGUGUGAUGUGUACAUGCACAUAAACGACGGAAAAAUUCUGUGGGAUGCACUGAAUACAAAAUUCGGUGCAACAGAUGCAGGCAGUGAACUGUACAUCAUGGAGAGUUUUCAUGACUACAAGAUGGUGAAUAACCGUUCUGUGGUUGAACAAGCUCAUGAGAUACAGUGCAUUGUGAAGGAACUUGAACUCCUUAAAUGUGUUCUACCCGACAAAUUUGUGGCUGGGUGCAUGAUUGCAAAGUUGCCUCCUUCAUGGAGGAAUUUCGCCACAACUCUGAAGCAUAAGAGACAGGAGAUAUCAGUUGAAAAUCUGAUUGCAUCUCUUGAUGUUGAAGAAAAAGCUCGGGCUAAAGAUACCACUGAAAAAGGAGGUGAGGUUCAGCCUACUGCUAACAUGGUGCAGAGGUACCCACACAACAAGAACAAAGGGAAGAACAAACCUGUUUUCAACAAGCCUACCAAGACUACUACCUUCAAGAAGAAGAAGUUCAACAAGGCUGAGCUAGAGUGCUACGCCUGUGGGAAGCCUGGACACUUUUCCAAGGAAUGCCCUGAAUGUGCAGACCGCAGAGGGAAAACAAGCUCCAAGACUGUCAACAUGGUGACCGCUAGCAAUACUGAUGGGUAUGGUCGCAAGGGAUUCUUCCGUCCUAAUGGGGAAUGGGUCACAUGCUUCUGUUCGUGGCAUUGGCACGGUGGAUCUGAAGUUUACUUCGGGAAAGAUCGUGCAACUAAGGAACGUGCAGCAUGUCCCUACUAUGAACAAGAAUCUAGCUAUGAGUGCGGAGGCUUGUUCCACUUUUCUCUUUCAGAUUUUUGCAAUAAGUCAAUAAACCAAAUUUGUGCUAAUGUUAAUGAUGAUGCAAGUAUUUGGCACUCCCGUUUAUGUCAUAUUAAUUUUGGUUUAAUGUCUCGGCUAUCCAGCAUGAGUUUAAUUCCGAACUUCACAGUUGCCAAAGGUUCUAAGUGCCAUAGUUGUGUGCAAUCUAAGCAACCUCGAAAGCCUCAUAAGGUUGCCGAGGAGAGAAACUUGGCACCUCUAGAACUCAUACAUUCUGAUCUUUAUGAGAUGAAUGGUGUGUUGACAAAAGGUGGAAAGAGAUAUUUCAUGACUUUGAUUGAUGAUGCGACUAGAUUUUGCUAUGUUUAUUUGUUGCAAACUAAAGAUGAAGCAUUAGACUACUUUAAAAUCUAUAAAGCUGAAGUUGAAAAUCAACUAGAGAGAAAGAUCAAGCGUCUUAGGUCCGAUCGUGGUGGAGAGUAUUUUCCAAAAGUUUUUGAUGAAUUUUGUGAGGAACAUGGUAUUAUUCAUGAGAGGAUGCCUCCCUAUUCACCUCAAUCAAAUGGAGUGGCCGAGAGGAAAAACCGCACAUUGACUGACUUGGUGAAUGCCAUGUUAGACACUGCUGGUUUAUCUAAGGCAUGGUGGGGGGAGGCUCUAUUGACUUCAUGUCAUGUCCUGAAUAGAGUUCCCAACAAUAAUAAAUAG
RNAcentral lists this ribosomal RNA (1704 nucleotides) under Triticum aestivum (bread wheat). Its description in RNAcentral is "partial small subunit ribosomal RNA". Lineage: Eukaryota; Viridiplantae; Streptophyta; Magnoliopsida; Poales; Poaceae. The record is from RNAcentral.